This 406-nucleotide ribosomal RNA is filed under the name uncultured bacterium. Its description in RNAcentral is "partial 16S ribosomal RNA". It matches the Rfam family "Bacterial small subunit ribosomal RNA", at positions 28 to 526 of the family's 1533-position model. The record is from RNAcentral.
GACGAACGCUGGCGGCGUGCCUAACACAUGCAAGUCGAACGAGCGGCGGACGGGUGAGUAAUGUCUGGGAAACUGCCCGAUGGAGGGGGAUAACUACUGGAAACGGUAGCUAAUACCGCAUACCAUCGGAUGUGCCCAGAUGGGAUUAGCUAGUAGGUGGGGUAACGGAUCACCUAGGCGACGAUCCCUAGCUGGUCUGAGAGGAUGACCAGCAACACUGGAACUGAGACACGGUCCAGACUCCUACGGGAGGAAGCAGUGGGGAAUAUUGCACAAUGGGCGCAAGCCUGAUGAAGCCAUGCCGCGUGUAUGAAGAAGGCCUUCGGGUUGUAAAGUACUUUCAGCGAGGAGGCGUUACUCGCAGAAGAAGCACCGGCUAACUCCGUGCCAGCAGCCGCGGUAAUAC